Molecule: transfer RNA, 71 nt
Filed under: Liolaemus kingii
Lineage: Eukaryota; Metazoa; Chordata; Lepidosauria; Squamata
Description: tRNA-Tyr
Rfam family: tRNA
About the family: Transfer RNA (tRNA) molecules are approximately 80 nucleotides in length. Their secondary structure includes four short double-helical elements and three loops (D, anti-codon, and T loops).
Source: RNAcentral
GGUAAAAUGGCCGAAUGCUUAGGCGGUGGGCUGUAGUCUCACUUAUAGGGGUUCAAUUCCUCUUUUUAUCA